CCUACGGGUGGCAGCAGUGGGGAAUAUUGCACAAUGGGGGAAACCCUGAUGCAGCGACGCCGCGUGAGUGAAGAAGUAUCUCGGUACGUAAAGCUCUAUCAGAAGGGAAGAAAAUGACGGUACCUGACUAAGAAGCCCCGGCUAACUACGGGCCAGCAGCCGAGGUAAUACGUAGGGGGCAAGCGUUAUCCGGAUUUAAUGGGUGUAAAGGGAGCGUAGACGGCAGCACAAGUCUGGAGUGAAAUCCCGGGGCUUAACCCCGGAACUGCUUUGGAAACUGUGCGGCUGGAGUGCAGGAGGGGUAAGCGGAAUUCCUGGUGUAGCGGUGAAAUGCGUAGAUAUUAGGAGGAACACCGGUGGCGAAGGCGGCUUACUGGACUGUAACUGACGUUGAGGCUCGACAGCGUGGGGAGCAAACAGGAUUAGAUACCCGGGUAGUC
This 440-nucleotide ribosomal RNA is filed under the name uncultured bacterium. RNAcentral describes it as "partial 16S ribosomal RNA". It matches the Rfam family "Bacterial small subunit ribosomal RNA", at positions 338 to 795 of the family's 1533-position model. The record is from RNAcentral.